Molecule: ribosomal RNA, 253 nt
Filed under: uncultured bacterium
Lineage: Bacteria
Description: partial 16S ribosomal RNA
Rfam family: Bacterial small subunit ribosomal RNA
Source: RNAcentral
UACGAAGGGGGCGAGCGUUGUUCGGAUUUACUGGGCGUAAAGGGCGCGCAGGCGGCGCAUUUUGUCAGGCGUGAAAGCCCCGGGCUUAACCUGGGAACUGCGUUUGAUACGGAUGGGCUAGAGUUCGGGAGAGGAGAGUGGAAUUCCCAGUGUAGAGGUGAAAUUCGUAGAUAUCGGAAGGAACAUCAGUGGCGAAAGCGGCUUCCUGGUCCAGCACCGACGUUCAGGCACGAAAGCGUGGGGAGCAAACAGG